RNAcentral lists this ribosomal RNA (108 nucleotides) under Salvator merianae (Argentine black and white tegu). The record is from RNAcentral. Lineage: Eukaryota; Metazoa; Chordata; Lepidosauria; Squamata; Teiidae.
GCAGGUGGCAGUACUUAGUUGUCCUUGGCUAAUCCCUAAACCUAAGCAGCAUCAGGCCUCAUUAAUCCUUGGAUGGGAGACCACCAGGGAAUCUCAAAGCUGUAGGCU